This 391-nucleotide unclassified non-coding RNA is filed under the name soil metagenome. RNAcentral's name for it is "partial contains 5.8S ribosomal RNA, internal transcribed spacer 2, and large subunit ribosomal RNA". The stretch from base 1 to 122 matches the Rfam family "5.8S ribosomal RNA", at positions 35 to 154 of the family's 154-position model. The record is from RNAcentral.
GAUGAAGAACGUAGCGAAAUGCGAUACUUGGUGUGAAUUGCAGAAUCCCGUGAACCAUCGAGUCUUUGAACGCAAGUUGCGCCCGAAGCCAUUAGGCCGAGGGCACGCCUGCCUGGGCGUCACACGUCGUUGCCCCCCCAUCUACUCCUUCGGGAUUGCGGGGGGCGGAUGAUGGCCUCCCGUGCGCCUCGCCGCGCGGUUGGCAUAAAUGCCAAGUCCUCGGCGACGCACGCCACGACAAUCGGUGGUUGCGAAACCUCGGUUGCCCGUCGUGUGCGGUCGUCGCGCAUCGAGGGCUCGAAAAAAUUACCGGGUUCCGGCUCGGCUUUCAACGCGACCCCAGGUCAGGCGGGGUUACCCGCUGAAUUUAAGCAUAUCAAUAAGCGGAGGA